RNAcentral lists this long non-coding RNA (5946 nucleotides) under Olea europaea subsp. europaea. The record is from RNAcentral. Lineage: Eukaryota; Viridiplantae; Streptophyta; Magnoliopsida; Lamiales; Oleaceae.
UAAUUUAUUAUUGGACUAAUUUGAUAGGUCACUUUAAAACAAGAUGCUAGUCAAUGGAAUAGGCUUACAAGUCACACCCUCUGGUUGUGGGUUCAAUGCCCUUUCACCUAUGCAUCUGGAAAAAAGAACGGUUGACAAUUCUUUGCUGUAUGUAACCAGAAAGGUGGUCGUACACAUUUAUUUUAAACUCAAACUUUAGUUGCUUUAACAUGUAUCCAUUUCAACAAAAUGGUACUUGAUCAUGACAAAAAGAAGGCUUAAUCGUGUGAUAUUAUUUUUGUUUUAGGUAUGUGUGUGUCUCUCUUUCUAUAUAUCUACCUAAUAUAUCUAAUUUUGAGUGUUCUUGCUUUGUGCACAUGCAUAGAUGUAGGUGAACGUGUCAUAACAUAUCUGCCCCGCAAGGUGCUUUUUGCAUAUUAAAUUAUGGCAAAUGUAAAUUGAAUACUCGCUUAUUACAAAUGAUGAGUUUCUUGCUUCUUGUUAUGUUUCAUUUUUACUCUUACGUUGAUUGUGAACAUCAAUAAUACUAUUUUCGAGUCAUGGUCAAUGUGAUGAGGAUAUCGGACGACGUUUACUUAUUUUAUUUAAGCUUUAUUUAUUUUCUUGGACUAUUAUUUAAAUUUGGACUUGUAUGGGCUCGGGCCCAAACUCGUUAGGGUUGCUUUACUAUUUAAACCUAUUUUGCAUUCUAAUAUUCAGUUGAUGAUGAAUGAAUAAUUAUUUUGGUGGCUUAUGGCGCAUCCCUCCCCUUCUUCUAUUGAAUUCUUCUUCUAUCCCCUCCCUUAAUUCCCUAUUCUUUCUGAAUCUUUCUUCUGUUUCUAUUAAUCAUCCUAUUGGUGCUGCAUCAAAUUUGGUAUCAGAGCCUAAACUUGGGUAAUCUCUCAUCUCCAAUCCAAAAAUCUCUUUCUAUUUCUUUCCUAAGAACUUGUGGAACAACAUACACAAAUAAACAUUUAGCAUGAGCAGCCAAGUUAUUAUUUUUCCAGCUUCUUCGUAGUUGUUCUUAAAAAAAAAAAUUGUUCACGUUACUGUUCACAGGCGGAAAUUUCAGUUUAGGUUUUUUUCUGCAAUUUCAGUUCACAUCCCAGCCCCCCAAAAAAAAAAAAAUCGUGUUACUGUUCACGGGUACUAUUCACACCCGAAAGUUUAUUUUUUUUGUAUUAUCAGCUUCAAAAAAAAAAAAAAAAUUGUGGUGUUGUUCCACAAAUCCCAAACCCUAGCAUUCAAGCCUACUUAGCCCUUCAACCCAUAUAUUCCAUCUCUAUAACCUACUCCAUUUAUUUUUUUAUCAAAACACUUGGGCCAUAAGCUAGUGGCCCAAAUUACUCCUAAAGCCCAUUAAACGCACAACCCAUCUCUUAUUAUCUAUUUAGCCAAUCCACUUGUUUUUCAGCCCAAUAAACACUAAAUCCAACCCACUUAUCACAUAUUAUCACAAUCGGCCCAACACCAUUCAACUCAUGAUCGGUCCCAAAUAUCCAACCAAGCCCGAUUAUAACCAAUCCAUUAAAAUCAAAUACCCCACAGUUUCACCCGAUUUCUCUCUCAUAACCACUCUCUUGCCGCUGCCUCCUCUAAUCACCAUCACGCCACCACUUCAUUAUCUAUUGUACCCAGGCAUCCAGAGCACUACCGCUUCAUCGCCAUAGGCCACCACCACUUACCCAAGAUCAUACACUUCCACCAUAAUUACCACACUCUUAUAUUUUCUCGUCCAUCUCAACAAUCUAAAAGCCACAGUCACUACACAGUUUUACGUCCACACCAAAACCAGCACAAGUUACAGUCUACAGGGGCUAAAACCAUUGGAUACGAAAGGAAGAAUAGAAGCAUAGUUGGGGCUUAGAAGUCGACAAUUCAGAUCAAGCAGCAUACAAAUAAUCAAAACUAAACAACAGGGAGUUCUUGAUUUCUAUUUAGUAUUGGUUUAUACUACUACUUCAUUUUUAAAAUUGCAUCAAUUAAAAUCUUGUGCUGCUGUUAUUGUGAUAAUUUUAGUCUUAAACCUCACUUGGUCAAAACCAUUAAUCGAAUUGACACCAGUGAUCGAAUUGAGUUCCAUUGUUCUCCACUUAAAUUGAUUGGAGAAUUUGACUAGUGUUGACCCUUGCUUUGCCAUUUUACAUGUACUAGCAGUAUUAGCUUGUUUUGGAUUUAAUUAAUCCCAAUAUUUAAAAUUAAAUUAAAAAAAAAUGGUACAAGUUAUUUUCCAUUGCUUGCACGUAUUGUUCACUGAUCUCAUCAUAGCACGUCAUUUAGCUGGUAUUACAUUGCAUGUAGUUGCGUAGUUGUCAUCUUGUCAUCUCUAUUUCCAAUACAUUGACCAUGGAUCCAUCCCAAUUUGAUGCACUCACUAGACAAUUAGCGCAACUUGCCACUAGCCUAUCGACUGUCCAAUCAGAUAUAACUGCUACUCGUGAGAAGAGAAAGAACCUAGCUGCUAAGUUGAGCAAUUUUAAGCGAACCCCUCGUUUAACUGACACUAAUUCUGAAGCAUCUCAUAAUAGACAAUAUCAUCGUGGACAAAGUGAUCAAAAAUAUUUUCGACGCGAUCGUAGGAAUAGGGAUCAGAUUCGUAAGCGAGAACGAGAUAAUUUUGAAAUUCUUACUCAAUGGAAUGCCCUUAAACAAGGAAAUCAAUUAGUGACUGAGUAUAUCGCGCAAUUUGAAGAAUUUCGAACCAAAUGUCAUUUAAUUGAGGAUGAAAGCAUGACUUUGAGUAGGUUUAGCCAAGGUCUGAGAGAUGAUCUUAAGCGCGAGCUUUUCCUUCGAGGUGUCACUACUCUUGAUCAAGCUUAUUCUUUAGCUCGAGAUUAUGAGUUGAUUAUUAGUACUCCAUAUGAAAAGCGUGGUCAUCGUCGUUCACCCAUCUAAUUAGCGUCGCCUCAUCAUAAGUCUAUCAUAAAACCUUCUCCGUCUAAUGUUCCUCCUAUUUGGAAAAAUAAUUGUGAAGGUCGUGAUAAUCCAAGAUCUUCUUCUUCAUGUAGAAAGCGUAAUGGCAAUCAUCUUUCGGUUUCAUUGGCUCCACUUCCUCCUGUUAAGUCCCUUCUAGGACCUCCCCCAUCUAAUAUUCCUCCAAUUUUGAAAAAUAAGGGUAUAAUUUGUGAAACUCCAAAGACUUCUCACUUGCUAUGCAUCAGCUGAAAGGAUUUUGGCCACAUCCCUUCCAAAUGUCCUAAUCGAGCCUUAGUCAUAGAAGAACGAAAGAAUGCAAUAGAAGAGUCGUUAGAAGAUCUAUCAUAUGGCCCUAAACUUGAAGAUUUUGAUGAUUAUAGUGAGGACACUUCCUUAAGUGGAAUCCUGACCCUUCCCGAGACUUUAGAAACUAUACCCCUUGUUUCCGACAACUCUCGAUCACAUGUUAUAUGUAAUACCCUUACCCAACUCAAAGAGUUUGAUGAUUUCACUAGUCACCCUUGGAGAAUCCAGUCGCUUGUUGUUAGCACUAAAUCGAAAUUCUCCACUACUGACCAACCUCAAACUAAUGGUCAAAUCGAAAUUGCUAACCGAAGUCUUGACAAUUUAUUACAGUCUCUAGUACAGAAAAAUCUUGAGAAUUGGGACUCGAUCCCCCCAAUUGUUCACAUCACAUAUAACAAUUCUAUGAAUCGGUCUCUAGGUCUAAAUCCAUUUGAAGUUGUUCAUAGUUAUAAGUCUAGGCGACCGUUAUAACUUAUUCCCAUGUCCCCGCAUGCUAAUGUGUUGUUGUCAGCUGAAGCAUUUGUAUAUCAUCUCCAUGACUUGCAUAUUGAGAUCAAUAAACAACAUGACGCAAGUAAUGCAUUAUAUAAACUUCAAGCUGAUUCGCAUAAACAAUAUUUUGAAUUUAAUAUUGGGGAUUAUGUCAUAUUGUAAGCUUGUAGUGCUGGUCCUUUAAAAAUUUUAAAGCAUGUUGGUUCAAAUGCACAUGUCAUUGCCCUUUCAUCACAUUUUAGCCACCACUCUAUUUUAAAUAUCGAGGACUUCAUUACUUACAAAUACCGUAUUACUUCCUUUGAUGAUCCUUUCUACCUAAAUUUGUGGACCCUCAAUUUGACUAUAUUGAUAUUUCUACUUUAAUAUCAUUUAUCACAGCACACAAAGAUAAAAUUGAUGUUAUUUUAGAUGAACGUGUUGUAUUGACCAAUAAUGGCAAAAUUCAGUACUUCCUUGUUUGCUGGGUAAAUCGACGUACUUCUUAUGCUUCUCAUUAUGUACAAUCAUGUGAAAAUGUUGAAGAUGAGGUGUAUGGGUAUUGGUUAAUUGAAGUCCAGUAUCAGUACUUGGUUAGAAGGAAAGAUCGGCCCCCUUGGUCAAAUCAUAUUCUUGGGAAUAAGCUACAGUUUUCAGUACUAUCAAUUAUGGAAUUUCGUUACUUGGUUCGUCAGAAAGAUCGUCCCCCGUGGCUUGACUUGAAGCAUUUGGAGUAUCAGAUUAACUGCAGCCUAUACUAUCUAUCAACUCGACAGGGUCGAGUUUUUCUCCCACCCCGGGAGAGUAGAUGAGAAUAUCGGACGACGUUUACUUAUUUUAUUUAAGCUUUAUUUAUUUUCUUGGACUAUUAUUUAAAUUUGGACUUGUAUGGGCUCGAACCCAAGCUCGUUAGGGUUGCUUUGCUAUUUAAACCUAUUUUGCAUUGUAAUUUUCAGUUGAUGAUGGAUGAAUAAUUAUUUUGGUGGCUUAUGGUGCAUCCCUCCCCUUCUUCUAUUGAAUUCUUCUUCUAUCCCCUCCCUUAAUUCCCCAUUCUUUCUGAAUCCUUCUUCUGUUUCUAUUAAUCAUCCUAUUGGUCCUGCAUCACAAUGUCUAUGGAUUCACGAAUAAUUUAACUUUUUGUCUUUUUUCCAUGGAUAUGCCAUGCAGUGUUUGAUUUUGAAUUUGUUAUUAUUUGACGUUAUAAAUUCUGUUGUGAUGACAGGAUAACGCAUCCUGCCCCUGGGAUCCCUGAACAGUUGAUACAAGAAAUGUUUUACCAUAACAAUGGUGUUUCAAGAGAAGGUCUUGGCCUGUAUAUCAGCCAGAAACUAGUGAACAUCAUGAAUGGGACUGUACAAUAUCUUAGAGAGGCCGAGGGAUCAUCUUUCAUUAUUCUAGUAGAAUUUCCAUUUGCUCGCCAACCACCCGCAGAUGAAAUUGGUCUAAAACUAAAAUAGGCAAAAAUAGAUUGAGGAAGUGAGAGAUGUUUUCUAGCUCGAAGAUUUUACAAUGACUGUUCAAGUGGAUAGAGUCCUUAUUGGGAAAUUGAGACUCUAGUGGCUUCUGCAUUCUAUACCAUUUCUGCUAGUCAAGUUCAAAGGAAUUGUCUAUUUCGUUGAAAUUGAGCAGUGGAUUGAACUUUUUCUGGGCAUGACGUUAAUGAGUGAUUCGUAACUUUCAGUGAUUAACUUGUUGAGGACAGAGUUCGUUUGUCAAAGUCCAAGACGAGUUGAUGCCGGACUUGGAAUUGAAGGCAUUGAAGCAGUAAAAAUGUAGUUUGGUUGUCAUCCCUGGAAAGAAGUUCAACUAAACAAGUCUCGUAUUGAGAUUGAGCAGUGACUGAAUUUGUUGCCAGCCAUGCAGCGUAUGGGAAUUCAUUUGUUCAGAAUUGAGUGUCCAUUAAUGAAGAGCCCAAGUUGAUAGUCUACAUUGGAAUUGGAGCAGUAAAAUGUAUUGGAGUUCCAUCCUUGUUUAAAGAUUCACCUCCGAUUUUGUCAAUUUCAAAUUUUUUUCCACUUUCUGCAUAACUGUCUCGUAAAUUAUAUGUGCUGCAAGAUUUUUGCCCAACAAGUGGCCAGGUGCUAAUUGCUGUUCAUUUAUGGUAAAAAAUGCACACAGUCCAUUUUGGUCUGUGUGUUUGGACAAAACUUGCAGAAAUUUUGUAGUUCUAAUAUUUUUUUAUCAAUUUCUACAAGGUCUAUUUCAUUUGGUUUGGACAAUUGACCAAUUCAGUCGAAAUUAGACCACUCUUACAGGAAGGUUCCUUUUAACUGC